CCCUUAGAUGUCCGGGGCUGCACGCGCGCUACACUGACUGGCUCAGCGUGUGCCUACCCUACGCCGGCAGGCGCGGGUAACCCGUUGAACCCCAUUCGUGAUGGGGAUCGGGGAUUGCAAUUAUUCCCCAUGAACGAGGAAUUCCCAGUAAGUGCGGGUCAUAAGCUUGCGUUGAUUAAGUCCCUGCCCUUUGUACACACCGCCCGUCGCUCCUACCGAUUGAAUGCUCAGGUGAGCCAUUCGGACUUUCAUCAUGCUGGUUUCCAGUUUUGAUGAAGGAAAGUCUUGCGAACCUUAUCAUUUAGAGGAAGGAGAAGUCGUAACA
This 325-nucleotide ribosomal RNA is filed under the name uncultured eukaryote. RNAcentral's name for it is "partial 18S ribosomal RNA". It matches the Rfam family "Eukaryotic small subunit ribosomal RNA", at positions 1470 to 1796 of the family's 1831-position model. The record is from RNAcentral.